AUUGAACGCUGGCGGCAGGCCUAACACAUGCAAGUCGAGCGGAUGAAGGGAGCUUGCUCCUGGAUUCAGCGGCGGACGGGUGAGUAAUGCCUAGGAAUCUGCCUGGUAGUGGGGGAUAACGUCCGGAAACGGGCGCUAAUACCGCAUACGUCCUGAGGGAGAAAGUGGGGGAUCUUCGGACCUCACGCUAUCAGAUGAGCCUAGGUCGGAUUAGCUAGUUGGUGGGGUAAAGGCCUACCAAGGCGACGAUCCGUAACUGGUCUGAGAGGAUGAUCAGUCACACUGGAACUGAGACACGGUCCAGACUACUACGGGAGGCAGCAGUGGGGAAUAUUGGACAAUGGGCGAAAGCCUGAUCCAGCCAUGCCGCGUGUGUGAAGGAGGUCUUCGGAUUGUAAAGCACUUUAAGUUGGGAGGAAGGGCAGUAAGUUAAUACCUUGCUGUUUUGACGUUACCAACAGAAUAAGCACCGGCUAACUUCGUG
RNAcentral lists this ribosomal RNA (484 nucleotides) under uncultured bacterium. RNAcentral's name for it is "partial 16S ribosomal RNA". It matches the Rfam family "Bacterial small subunit ribosomal RNA", at positions 30 to 507 of the family's 1533-position model. The record is from RNAcentral.